CGCGCAGGCGGUGAUUUAAGCAGGAUGUGAAAGGCUACGGCUCAACCGUAGACAUGCACCCUGAACUGGGUCACUUGAGUAUUGGAGAGGCAGGCAGAAUUCCUGGUGUAACGGUGAAAUGCGUAGAUAUCAGGAGGAAUACCGGAGGCGAAGGCGGCCUGCUGGACAAAUACUGACGCUGAGGCGCGAAGGCGUGGGAGCAAACA
Molecule: ribosomal RNA, 206 nt
Filed under: uncultured bacterium
Lineage: Bacteria
Description: partial 16S ribosomal RNA
Rfam family: Bacterial small subunit ribosomal RNA
Source: RNAcentral